UUCAAAUUACUCCUCUUAUUUUAAAAACAUCAAGUUACUCUUUUUUUUUUUAAAAAAAGAAAAUAAAUAGGUGUGGACAAUGACUUAAUGAUUUUUUUCGUCUUUCUUAAUAAAAAUAGGAAUAAAUUGAGAUUUUUAAAUGUGAGAAAAGUGAUUUGAAAAUAGUUAAUUCUAAUCCACAAUUGACCUAAAAAAUUAGUAGAAAAACCCUAUACGACCCUCAUAUUUUGAAUGAAAAUAAAAAGAAAAUUGAAGUUUUAACACGUCUCAAGAUAAGUUGAACUAUUUUCUUUUCAGCUUAAAGCUGAAAUAAAGUUUGUCAAUUUUUAUUAAUUCACGCACUAAUUAUAAAAUCAGGAUAAAAAUGAAGAUGGGUAGGUGAAAUUUAACAAAUUAUUUUUUUUUAGUGCGAAAAUAUGGAAAAUAGAAAAUCAACUCAAAUUAUAAAAAUCAAUUAAUAAAUUACACACGAACUUUGACUGGGGGCUUGUUGGGAUCAUGAUUCAUGAUCAUUUUAACGGUGGACACUUCGUUAGUCAUCACAUCCUCGAUAUCGUUUUCUGUUUGACAGUCGCUUUGCGUCUCAGAAGACAUUGGAGCUCACUCGCUUAAAGCACAAACGACAAAACGACAGUAGACGAGUGAGAGUUGUUUUGAAUGAAAUAGCCAUAAGCCAUGUCCGUUACCUGGGUGGAUGAACCUUACGUUGGUUUGUGUGGCUCAUCGGGUUCCACGACCCACAAAACAUCCAAACAAAAAUCACAAACCCUGUCACCUUGGAGCCAACUUGUUACANNNNN
Molecule: long non-coding RNA, 800 nt
Filed under: Citrus x clementina
Lineage: Eukaryota; Viridiplantae; Streptophyta; Magnoliopsida; Sapindales; Rutaceae
Description: Citrus clementina (C. clementina) long non-coding RNA (CCLE_LNC006492)
Source: RNAcentral